RNAcentral lists this ribosomal RNA (806 nucleotides) under uncultured bacterium. Its description in RNAcentral is "bacterial SSU rRNA". It matches the Rfam family "Bacterial small subunit ribosomal RNA", at positions 57 to 840 of the family's 1533-position model. The record is from RNAcentral.
GCAGUCGAACGAGAAAGCUCCCUUCGGGGAGUGAGUACAGUGGCGAACGGGUGAGUAACGGGUGGGAAACCUGCCUCUCUGCGGGGGAUAACAUUCCUAACGGGGUGCUAGUACCGCAUGGUCCGGUGCAUCGCAUGGUGUAUCGGUAAAGAUGGCCUCUACAUGUAAGCUGUCACAGAGAGAUGGUCCCGCCUCCCAUUAGCUUGUUGGUGGGGUAAUGGCCUACCAAGGCGACGAUGGGUAGCCGGCCUGAGAGGGUGUCCGGCCACACUGGGACUGAGAUACGGCCCAGACUCCUACGGGAGGCAGCAGUCGAGAAGCUUCGGCAAUGGGCGAAAGCCUGACCGAGCGACGCCGCGUGAGGGAUGACGGCCCUAGUGGUUGUAAACCUCUGUCAGGAGGGAAUAAAACGCGAUAGUAAAUAGCUAUCGUGCUUGAAGGUACCUCCAAAGGAAGCUCCGGCUAACUCCGUGCCAGCAGCCGCGGUAAUACGGAGGGAGCGAACGUUGUUCGGAUUUACUGGGUGUAAAGGGUGCGUAGGCGGCCCUGUGUGUCAGAGGUGAAAUCCCACGGCUCAACCGUGGAAUUGCCUUUGAAACUGCAGGGCUUGAGUCCGAGAGGGGAAGGUGGAAUUCCUGGUGUAACGGUGAAAUGUGCAGAUAUCAGGAAGAACACCCGUGGCGAAGGCGGCCUUCUGGCUCGGAACUGACGCUGAGGCACGAAAGCUAGGGUAUCGAACGGGAUUAGAUACCCCGGUAGUCCUAGCCGUAAACGAUGUCCACUAGGUGUUGGAGGUCCUACCCCUU